RNAcentral lists this ribosomal RNA (863 nucleotides) under Bipolaris setariae. RNAcentral describes it as "partial large subunit ribosomal RNA". It matches the Rfam family "Eukaryotic large subunit ribosomal RNA", at positions 47 to 928 of the family's 3401-position model. Lineage: Eukaryota; Fungi; Ascomycota; Dothideomycetes; Pleosporales; Pleosporaceae. The record is from RNAcentral.
UAAGCGGAGGAAAAGAAACCAACAGGGAUUGCCCUAGUAACGGCGAGUGAAGCGGCAACAGCUCAAAUUUGAAAUCUGGCUCUUUCAGAGUCCGAGUUGUAAUUUGCAGAGGGCGCUUUGGCUUUGGCAGCGGUCCAAGUUCCUUGGAACAGGACGUCACAGAGGGUGAGAAUCCCGUACGUGGUCGCUAGCUAUUGCCGUGUAAAGCCCCUUCGACGAGUCGAGUUGUUUGGGAAUGCAGCUCUAAAUGGGAGGUAAAUUUCUUCUAAAGCUAAAUAUUGGCCAGAGACCGAUAGCGCACAAGUAGAGUGAUCGAAAGAUGAAAAGCACUUUGGAAAGAGAGUCAAACAGCACGUGAAAUUGUUGAAAGGGAAGCGCUUGCAGCCAGACUUGCUUGCAGUUGCUCAUCCGGGCUUUUGCCCGGUGCACUCUUCUGUAGGCAGGCCAGCAUCAGUUUGGGCGGUGGGAUAAAGGUCUCUGUCACGUACCUCUCUUCGGGGAGGCCUUAUAGGGGAGACGACAUACCACCAGCCUAGACUGAGGUCCGCGCAUCUGCUAGGAUGCUGGCGUAAUGGCUGUAAGCGGCCCGUCUUGAAACACGGACCAAGGAGUCUAACAUCUAUGCGAGUGUUUGGGUGUCAAGCCCGAGCGCGUAAUGAAAGUGAACGGAGGUGGGAACCCGCAAGGGUGCACCAUCGACCGAUCCUGAAGUUUACGGAAGGAUUUGAGUAAGAGCAUGGCUGUUGGGACCCGAAAGAUGGUGAACUAUGCUUGAAUAGGGUGAAGCCAGAGGAAACUCUGGUGGAGGCUCGCAGCGGUUCUGACGUGCAAAUCGAUCGUCAAAUUUGGGCAUAGGGGCGAAA